AUUGAACGCUGGCGGCAGGCCUAACACAUGCAAGUCGAGCGGAUGAAGGGAGCUUGCUCCUGGAUUCAGCGGCGGACGGUUGAGUAAUGCCUAGGAAUCUGCCUGGUAGUGGGGGAUAACGUCCGGAAACGGGCGCUAAUACCGCAUCCGUCCUGAGGGAGAAAGUGGGGGAUCUUCGGACCUCCCGCUAUCAGAUGAGCCUAGGUCGGAUUAGCUAGUUGGUGGGGUAAAGGCCUACCAAGGCGACGAUCCGUAACUGGUCUGAGAGGAUGAUCAGUCACACUGGAACUGAGACACGGUCCAGACUCCUACGGGAGGCAGCAGUGGGGAAUAUUGGACAAUGGGCGAAAGCCUGAUCCAGCCAUGCCGCGUGUGUGAAGAAGGUCUUCGGAUUGUAAAGCACUUUAAGUUGGGAGGAAGGGCAGUAAGUUAAUACCUUGCUGUUUUGACGUUACCAACAGAAUAAGCACCGGCUAACUUCGUG
RNAcentral lists this ribosomal RNA (484 nucleotides) under uncultured bacterium. RNAcentral's name for it is "partial 16S ribosomal RNA". It matches the Rfam family "Bacterial small subunit ribosomal RNA", at positions 30 to 507 of the family's 1533-position model. The record is from RNAcentral.